This 1235-nucleotide ribosomal RNA is filed under the name metagenome. RNAcentral's name for it is "bacterial LSU rRNA". It matches the Rfam family "Bacterial large subunit ribosomal RNA", at positions 1564 to 2808 of the family's 2925-position model. The record is from RNAcentral.
UGAAUACGAGACGCUAAGGCGUCGAAGUAGUGUAUGUCAUACUUCCAGGAAAAGCUUGCACUGUCAUAAGUAAAAAAUGCCUGUACCAUAACCGACACAGGUGGGUAGGUAGAGUAUACUAAGGGGCGCGAGAUAACUCUCUCUAAGGAACUCGGCAAAAUAACUCCGUAACUUCGGGAGAAGGAGUACCUUAUUCUAUAAGGUUGCAAUAACAAGAUCCAAGCAACUGUUUAUCAAAAACACAGGUCUCCGCUAAGUCGUAAGACGAUGUAUGGGGGCUGACGCCUGCCCAGUGCCAGAAGGUUAAAGAAGUCGGUUAGCAUUAGCGAAGCUGGUAACUGAAGCCCUGGUGAACGGCGGCCGUAACUAUAACGGUCCUAAGGUAGCGAAAUUCCUUGUCGGGUAAGUUCCGACCCGCACGAAAGGCGUAAUGAUUUGGAUACUGUCUCGGAGAGGGGCUCGGUGAAAUAGACUUGUCUGUGAAGAUGCGGACUACCUGCACCAGGACAGAAAGACCCUAUGAAGCUUUACUGUAACUUGAAAUUGAAAUUGGACUUUAUUCGCGCAGUAUAGGUGGGAGGUGUUGAUUAUAAUCUUGCGGGAUUAUUGGAGCCAUCAGUGAGAUACCACUCUUGUAAUGUUAGAUUUCUAACUUUGAAUCAUUAUCUGGUCAAAGGACAGUUUCAGGCGGGCAGUUUGACUGGGGCGGUCGCCUCCCAAACGGUAACGGAGGCGUACAAAGGUUUCCUCUGAACGGGUAGAAAUCGUAUCUAGAGUGUAAAGGCAUAAGGAAGCUUGACUGUGAGACCUACAAGUCUAACAGGGACGAAAGUCGGUCUUAGUGAUCUGACGGUACUGAGUGGAAAGGCCGUCACUCAACGGAUAAAAGUUACUCUAGGAUAACAGGCUGAUCUCCCCCAAGAGUUCACAUCGACGGGGAGGUUUGGCACCUCGAUGUCGGCUCAUCGCAUCCUGGGGCGGUAGUACGUCCCAAGGGUUGGGCUGCUCGCCCAUGAAAGCGGUACGCGAGCUGGGUUCAGAACGUCGUGAGACAGUUCGGUCCAUAUCCGGUGUAGGCGUUAGAAUAUUGAGAGGAGCCUUCUUUAGUACGAGAGGACCGAGAAGGACAUACCUCUGGUGUACCAGUUAUCGUGCCAACGGUAAACGCUGGGUAGCUAUGUAUGGAGUGGAUAACCGCUGAAAGCAUCUAAGUGGGAAGCCCACCUCAAGAUAAG